ACAAGGUUUCCGUAGGUGAACCUGCGGAAGGAUCAUUGUCGAAACCUGCAAUGCAGAACGACCUGUGAACGUGUUAUAACAACCAUGCCAGGAUGGGUCUGACGUUAGUUUGAUCCUCGUGGUACAUAGUUGAUGCGUGUCCUUGACAUACCUUUUAGGUCCUCUUGGUCGUUGCGUUGGCUUAACAAAACCCCGGCACGGAAUGUGCCAAGGAAAUAAAAAUUGAAGAAUGGCUUGUUCCAUGAUGUCCCGUUUGCGGUGUGCACAUGGAGCGUGGCUUCUUUGUAAUCAUAAACGACUCUCGGCAACGGAUAUCUCGGCUCACGCAUCGAUGAAGAACGUAGCAAAAUGCGAUACUUGGUGUGAAUUGCAGAAUCCCGUGAACCAUCGAGUUUUUGAACGCAAGUUGCGCCCAAAGCCAUUUGGUCGAGGGCACGUCUGCCUGGGCGUCACGCAUCGUGUCGCCCCCACCAUGACAUCCUUUUGGAUCCCUGGUUGGGGGCGGAUACUGGUCUCCCGUUUAUCAUUGAGUGGUUGGCCAAAAUAAGAGUCUCCUUUGACGGACACACGACUAGUGGUGGUUGAAAUAACCCGGAAUCGUGUCGCGUGUCUCGUUGAAAGGUUGCAUCUUAACAAACCAAACGUGUUGUAAUGACGCUUCGACCGCGACCCCAGGUCAGGCGGGACUACCCGCUGAGUUUAAGC
Molecule: ribosomal RNA, 705 nt
Filed under: Tripolium pannonicum
Lineage: Eukaryota; Viridiplantae; Streptophyta; Magnoliopsida; Asterales; Asteraceae
Description: eukaryotic LSU rRNA
Rfam family: 5.8S ribosomal RNA (bases 297-452)
Source: RNAcentral